RNAcentral lists this long non-coding RNA (37682 nucleotides) under Lynx pardinus (Iberian lynx). The record is from RNAcentral. Lineage: Eukaryota; Metazoa; Chordata; Mammalia; Carnivora; Felidae.
AAAUGACCCGAGAGAAUAGUUGUAAAAUAACAUCAGUGACUAAAAGGUGAAUAUGCAAAUCAAAUCAAAUAAUUAUCUUCCUAAUUCUCCCCCUUCCUUCUCAGAUUUAGACUGAUCGUAAAGAAUCUGCUGUUGCUUUUACUUUGCCUCUCAUGUAGUUUUGUAGAUGGACGGGUCUACAAAGGGUAGAUGUGACUGUUUAACCUGUUCUGUGUAUUGCAUUCAUGUUACUUUGUGUUUGUCUUCAGUUUAAUCUGCCUUAUCUCUGAGGAUGGGUGAUGGGUGAUGGUGGUGUGCCCCGGUGGGGCUGCCGGGCUGGUCUGACCCAGGGACGGGGGUGUCCCACCUAUCUCUCCCUUUUCUGGUCUCUGGCCUCCAUGUCAGAAGACAGCAGCUUACGGUUCUUGACGUUGUUUUGCCACUUCAAGGGACCAUUGUUAGAAUAAAGACCCUAAUUAUUUUAUUGUUGCUGCAUUGAUACUGAUCAUGUAUAAUCAAAUCAUCUCUAUAAUAUUAAAUUAAAUACUUGUGAGGAUGAUUUGCCCUAGAAUUUGGAAGCAAUAUCUUGAAAAGUUAAGUACGUGUAUAUUAUUAAAGCCAUGGAUAUGUAAAAUCAAGAUCAAGCUCUUAUUUUUCUAAGAAUGUAUGCUAUUAGUAAAGUACAGUUGAUGAUAAAGAUUCCCAUACUCUUAGUCUGUGUAUCUGCCUCAUGUACUUUAUCUGAUAAAUGUCAGCAAGCUGGAAUUCAAGGAGGUUUGGUCAGGUACAGAAAUCCAAAAAAGAAACUAAGGCAUAAGCCAGGGUAGGAGAAAUCCUCGUGAUUUUAAGAUUUUCAAUAUUUACCAUUGGAAAACCAGAGGCACUUAACUGUUUAGCUAUUUUUUUUCCCCUAACUUGAUAGAAUUAGUAAGUUUCAGUGAUAGGUAUGGAAAGAUUUUUCUCUGCCACUGCACUGAUAGGAUUGUUGGUUCAAGUUUGUACAUAUGAUAAAACUUUGACCUUGAGAUUCUAUGUUAGUUAGGUGGGUAUGUGAAAAUAAUGCUGUUGAAGUCAGCACUGAAUAUGAAAAUAGGUAGGAUUGCCAGGACGCUUCCACAGGGGUUUUGCAUGCUGGAGGAAUCUAAAGUUACUUUGGUAACAACUUUCAGAGUCUGUAGUUGCUUUUAAACAUACUGUCAUAUUGCAGCUAGUUACAUGAUUAUUACAGUUCAGAGGUUCUCAGCUAGGAGGUUAUUUGGGAGGUGUGUAGGUAUUUGUGAUUUUCAAAACAGUCAGAGGCACUGCCGGCAUUGAUUGUGCAGGCAUGGCCGUGGCCAUGAUAGAAGGGACAGACAAGGCCAUGGCCAUGGUAGAAGGGACAGACAAGGAUUAGUUGCCCAGUCCAAAAUGCAGUGGUCUUCUAUUGAGAGCCACUGCCAAAUUCUCAGUUCUUGUGUUUAACAUCCCUUGUUUUCAGUAUAAUGUAGUAAAAGAUUUAAUUUUUAAAGUAUCAUUUGAGAAGUCAGUGUCGGAUUUGCAAUGCUUUUCACGUAAAAUAUUUUAGAUAUAUAAUUGACAAUGUCGUGAGUUAAGAGAGAAAAAAAAUGAGACUCUGGUUUUUGGCAAUUGGGAUUAGAAGUGAUGGAGAGGAGGGUCCAAGCAUGCAUGUAUAUAAGUGAACUCUUAAAAAAAAAAAAAAAAAGAUGUUAUGAUCCUUUUCUCUGGAAAGAAAUGAUAAGCGGAUUCCUAUUAGGACAAGGAAGGAACAGAUAGUGCGGAAAGUCAGAGAGAAGCUUAUUAAUCAUUUAACAACCUGAAUUAUGUUGUAACUUUUUAUUAAGAGAAAGUCAGAUUCAUUGAGAAACAAAUGAAAGACUGAAACGUUCUGAAUACUUUAGUAUUUGAGUUCUUUGGGAUUAGAGGCCAUCGUAUCUCAGUUAUUUGUGCCUGUGAACCAGCAACUACAAAAGGGGAGGGAAAGGAAAGGAAGAAAAUGUUAAGUGAAGAGGAAAAAAGCAAGGAAAAGCAGAUGGAAAGGAAGAGGCAGCAUCUCCUUCGAUGACAGAAAAUGGCAGCUCCAGCCUUCCUUGUCCUUAGGAUAAAAAUCUUGGUGUCAUCCCUGACUUCCUCUUCUUUCAUACCUGAUAUCUCCGGUGGCAGCAAAUCUUGGGGGCUCUGUUUUAAAAAUAUAUCCGGGAUCUGAUUACUUCUCACAUCUCUUCUGUGCGGGCCAAGCCAGCAUCAUCUCUUGCCUAGAUUGGGGCAUUAGCCUCCUGAGAGAUCUGCCUGCCUCCACCCUCUUCCCUUACAGUCUCUUUUUAAACCUAAGUCACACGAGGUCGGCCACCUUGAGCCUCCCAACGGCUUUCUAUCCCUGGAUGGAAAAGCUCCAGCCAUUCUGGUGAGCAGUGCUUACCUUGCUAAACCCAUACUUUAUCUGCCUUCCCUGCCUUUCUGAAUCCCCUCCUCCACUUUCCCUGUCUGCAUCCUUGCCCUCCCUGAAACACCUGGGCAUGGGCAUGCUGCCGAACGGGGUUUCUCACUUCAUGUUCCCAUACCGUCCUGGCCCAUAGCUCUCCUUCCGGCUUUUAUGCAGAUGUCCUUUUCUUACAGUGGCCUUUUCUGACCAUACUUACUCUUGGUUUCACAGGCAUAGAGACAGAGAUGGUAAUUCCUACCUCCUUCUCCCUACCAUCUCUUCAUUUUUCCCUAAAGCACUUUCAUUAUCUCAUCUACUGCACAUUUUACUGAUUUUUUUUGUUGUUGUUGUUGCGGGUCUGCGGGUCCCUUUCCCCAGAGGCAGGGAUUUUCUGCUUACUGCUGAAAACAGUGGUUGACACAAAGAUAGUAGGAGUUAUGGUGAGAUGGGAGUAAAAGUUGGUGAAGUGUGGUUAAGAAGCAAUAGCAGAAGGGCACCUGGGUGGCUCAGUCGGUUAAGCAUCCAACUCUUGAUAUCAGGUCGUGUCGUGAUCUCAUCGUUCAUGAGAUUGAGCCCCAAGUUGUGCUCUGUCCUUAUAGAACGGAGCCUGCUUGGGAUUCUCCCCCCCNCCCCCCCCCCCCCCCCCCAGAAUAAACAGGUAAACAAUUUUUUUAAGAAGAAGCACUAAUAGAAACCAGUUAUGAGACUCAGUUAUGGCUGAGUUAUCCAACCUCCUUGAACUUGUUUGUUGAGGGUGCUAGUACUUAUCUUUGUAAAAAUCAGCUGGACUGAUUUACGUGACCAUAGCACAGUGCCUGCUGGUCUUGGGAGGAGCAUCAUAAGUGAUAGUUACGAUGAUGAUACCGAAGAUUCUCAUGGGAAGGACAAGACCAUCUGAAGGGAAUGGUAAAGCAUCAUAGCUCUUUCCAAAAGAUCUUUCAUUACAGUACUGGCAUUUACUGCAUUUUUUUUUUUUUUUUUUGGUUCCUUAAAGAGAGCUCCCUAUGGCCGAUGUUACUAAAUCCAUCCAUAAAAGCUUCGUAAGAGGGCAGGUGAAACCACUGAUAUUUUAUUCACUUCUGGGUGCCAGGGUGUCCCUCAUGGCCCUCCUAGUGGACUGUGUGGCAUUCAGUAGGCAUUGGUGACAGAGGGGGUUGAGGGACGCACACCUUGGGCCACUAACCUCAUCACUGUUUGACACCCAAAUACACUUUGAACUUUAUAAUGAUUCCAAGUCUCAUAGAAAAGGAUCGAUUAUGUUCAAUGGGAGAUGUAUACUACAGAAAGACAUGGUAAAUAUAUAUGAGAAAGAUGCUCGAUAUUAAAAUUUAAAGGAAUGGACCUCAUGGGCUAAGCUCCAGUUACCUGAAAUCAUAUUCUCUGAGUAUUUCCUCAUUAAGAGUUUGUAUUGGUUGGGCUAGCACUGAGCUCUCUAACAAGAUGCAAGUUACAGAAUACAUUUCCCUGUGCCAUUUGUGAAUAAAAACUAGUUCAGAUGACCAGGCCCUAACUUAAAUACAGUACCUUUGAUUAUUAAAGCUGAUCAAGGUGAGUGUGGUGAAGUAGCUCAAGGGGAAAUAAAAACCCAAAAUCUUCAUAUUAAUGAACUGGGACAAAAUGUCAAAGCGCUGUUUUUUAUGAUAGCGGGCAGGCAGCAUAUUUUGAGAUGAAAAAUGUCCCACGUUCCUUGGUUUAUUAACAAUUAGAACAUAAAGUUCUACAAUGUGAGUGGAGUCUUGUGGAUCUAGGAAGGAAGGAUAAUUUAUUAAAGCAAGUUCAUGAAAAAAUAGGCCUAUGACUGAUGGUAUGUGUGCCUGUACCUGCCAGAAACAUUUAGAACGUUUCUGUAGAAGUGCUACUUAAAGCAGCACGACUCUCAUUUAUUGUGAGUGACUUCCAGUGCCUCCUAGGAUGUACGUGGCAGAAAGGACUGUCUUCGUAGAUCGUCAUUUAGAAGCAAGUAUGUCACAUGCAUUUACAAGAAAUGAUUUUGUCGUAUCGUUUUAGUGUACUGUGAAUAUACGAAUAAAGAUUGUAAAGGAAUAUUGCAGUUCUUUCCAAACAGUUUUUAUGAAAACAUUUGUAUUUUACUACACGGUUUUUGUUUUAUUCCUCAAAGAGAACUCCCCAUGGAAAUGUUAGUAAAUUCACCUCUGUACUUCAGGAACUUGAAAAACUAAAUAAUGUAAAGGGUCUAAUUGUGUUUGCAUUCAACACAGUAUUGAUAUAAGUAAAAGAAAAACAUUUACAUUGCAUAAUAAAUUACUCAGCAGUGCUUUGUGUUUCUAUUAACAGAGCUAAUCUGUUUCUUCUUAGGAAUGAUGCAAUUUCACAGCAAAAAUUUGAUGUCAUUCUAAUGAGUCUGCUUUCAAUUGUAGAGUACAAUGAGGGCCUAGUAAAGAUUAGUAAGAAAUCUAUUUUAUUGUAGAUAAUAAAUCUGCAAAGUAAGCUCUCAGCAUAGAUUGAAGUUGACCUGGCAUGGAGUUGCUUUAUGAAUAGCCCUUUGAGCAAACUCUACAGUUCUGUAUGUGGUUUGAAAUCACUGUAAAUGUGUAGGCAGGUACAUAUUACAAUUGUCUGUUUUUCUUUUUAGGGCUCAUGUAAUCAAAGAAGUUUCUUUGUUGUGUGUAACUUUUCAGAACACAACAGGAAUUGAAAAUGAAUCAGGUGAGUUUAAAAAUAAGAAUUUAUACAAAUACAUUACCUAGAUGCUAGACCAGUUCUUGAUUUUUGAAGGAUCAAAACACACACAUUCAUUUUCCCCUGAUUUUCUUUUCUGUUUCUUCGCACCAUUAACUAGCUCAUUGCUUUCAUAGUGUGCAUUUGUUUGUGGAGUGGCCUGUGCUCUGUUUGGGCGUGGCUUGGCCUUUCUGAGGAAGCCUGCUCAGGGGACAGAGUCUUUGAGACCUUAGUUCAGACUUUCUGUUUUUACCUUUCCCCUGCCACGUUGUAGUGUUCAUUUUUUGGUUUUGUUUUGAAGCUUAUUAAGCUUUCAUUUUUAAUAUUUUUUUUAUUUUGUAAAUUAUCCAUUGGUUGAAAAGGGAAGAUUGAAAUUUAUUUUUAGAAGCUGAAACUGAUCAAGUGGGAGACUUUAUAAGCACUCUGUCCUUGAAAACCCUGUUAAUAGAAUACAAACGAGAAGGCAGAUAUUGAAAUGUAAGAUGUGUUUCUUAGUGGAAGAGGGUGUGGAGCUACCUGGGGAUUAAACAGUUCUGCUGUGGAGAUUUCUGGAGCCUCAGGGCUGUUCUGAUAAGUAAAACCAGUUAUAUGGACUUAAUGUAUUCUAAACGAGGAUUCUUAUUUUCUGGUUUAUUAUCAUUUUACUUGUAGUUAACAGAAAUUCAUGGGUGUUAGAGACACUCUCUUGAGAUCUUCAUAAACAUUUAAAAAAUAUGAAAGACAAACUUGAAAAUGUGAAGUCCAAUUAGUAGUGUUGAGCUUAAAACUACCAGACUUGAAAACAUUUUGUAUCCCUCACUAUCUGAGAUUUUGGACACCUUUUCAUCAUUCACAGGUGCUUCUAACUGGAGUCCCACUUUUAUUGGGGUGGACUGCAUUUAGUAAAGUUCAGUCCGGGUUGCAUUGAGAGAUGUGACUUUUUUGGAAUGGAUUCUUUUGAUUUUGUUUCAUUACUUUUCUUUAUCAAAAAUAUGUUUAUUUUAAUGCGGAGGACCAUACAUCAUAAAAAAUGAAUCUGGCGAACACAUGGGGCACAUGGUUCCUAUUAUUUUACAACUUGCAGAUUUACUGACAUGCUUUUGAAGCCAAAUUAGUUUUGAAAUGGUCAGAUGGGGGAGGGGAAAAGAGAACAGUGGAUUGCCCUAGUCAUUGUUCCUCAAAGUUAUGUGCACAUAUAUGUCCUAGAUUUCAUUUCUCUUUCUCUCUUAAGACUGGUUCUAUAUGUGAACUUGGUCACCCAAAGGAACUUGCUUUUCUCCUGCCUAGGAACUGUUGUUAGGAGUCUUGAUUCUGGAUUAGAACGAUUGCGAGUGCUUCCAUAGUGGAAUCCAAAUGUUGACAUUGCUUUUGUUGUAUUGCUAAUCAGCAGCCAGUUAUUUUCAGGUGGCUACAGCUUUACCGGUAGGCUUACUAACGCAUUAAUUCUUACACCAUAUUAGGCUACUAAUAUUUUCUUUCUAACGUGUUUCGACCUGUUGGACACCUCAUACUUUUCACUCUGUGGCUCCCCUUACAUCACACGACCUUGUGUGUGGAGAAAGUCCACAUGCCAUUCAGAAGAGUUGUAGCAAUAACCAUUUCUUUUUUGGCUCUUUUACAAUUUCAUUUUGUUUUUGACAAGUUUUCAUAUCAGAUCUGCAGAAGACUGCCUUUGAUGCCAAAUGCCAAAUAUCAGGGGAAAAGUGUCCUCUUAUGUUUCUAAUGGUUAGCACAUUUCUGAUUUGGAUGUAAUUUACGUGGUCUGGUAGUAAUGAAACUUUCAUUUGGAGUAUAAAAGUUGUCCACUUUUUAUGAGUAAAAUUUUCAGCAUCUUUAGUUAUAUUUUCAUUAUCUGAGGAAUAUCAGUUGUAUGAUAUUUAGACCUGAUUAUUAUGUCAUGGCAUAAAAUCUCUGAGUGUUUUUCAGCAGUUGUCUCAGUAAUUUUGAAUAGUUAAGGAUUGUUUCAGGACAUUUUAUCUUUUUCCCUCUUAUAUUUAUUUUCCCCUUUUCAGCCAGUGAAAAUGAGCAAUCAGUGCUUGAGAAACUUGGAAGUAACUACACAAAAAUUCGGAUAUUAAAGUUUUAACUUGAAUCAGAUUGAUUUUUUUUUUUUUUUAGUUUAUUUAUUUAAGCAAUCUCUGUACCCAGCGUGGGGCUCGAACUCGUGACCCUGAGAUCAAGAGCUGCAUGCUCCACCAACUGAGCCAGGCAGGCGCCCCUGAACCAGAUUGACUUUUAAUUAAAAUCUUAAUGGUGAUGUUACGCUGAGAUUAUUCCCUGUAGGUACCAAGCAGCUUUGCUUAGAUGAACUUUAGCAGUCAGAGCAAUCUCUUAUAGUGGGAAUGGUCUCAAAGAGAGUAGUACUGUAUCAUUUAUUCAUGUGUUUGCUGGUUGAGUUUUAGGGACUGAAGGAUCCUCUGAGUGAGCAGACCAUACUGUUUGUAAAUGAGUCCUUUAGAAGAAACAACAGACUCCAGAGUCUCACGGUAUAUUAAACACUAACUAUUGGAGCAACAUUCAGAACUGCUCAGUCUUACCAGUGUGUUCCAAGUCGUUUCUGGUGUGGUAGCUCACCAGGCUCUCUCUCUGACCCUAGCCCAGGGCUGCACAAAGCCUCCGGAUCCACAUGUUCUUUGUCCUUCUUUCUCUUCCAGUUUGUUCUCCAUUCAACACUUAGCCCUUCUCUUAUCUUCCCAACUCGGAACUCCACUCGUGUUGCCCGUGAGCCUUUGUUCCAACUCAGUCCAGGCUGGUUGGCAGACAAGAGGAGAGCCAUUCUGCUUCCCGACUUCCUUCUCCCAGUUUCUUUUCUCUCCCAUUUUAAAUCACAGGUGUCCUUUACUUCAUUAACAUUCUACACCCAUCCCAAUAUUUAACUUUUGAGAUGUUCCACUAUUUUCUUUCUUUUUUCCCCCGUAGAUUUAUCUAGGAGCAUCCAAAACUUUAAAAAUUACUUUCUCGUUGAAUAAAGAGUUUAGAAUGCUUUACUUUAUAGAAUAUCAAAGGUGAGCAAAGUUCCAUAAUGUGAAUAUGCUUAUAGUAGCUUAAAAUAGGUAUGCUAGAGUUUAAUACCACUUGCUGUCUACUGAGUGCUUAACCAACAGGCCAGGCACUCCAUUAAAUAUUGCAUAUGUACUUUCUCACUAAUUGAGUCUUUGCAUCCACUCUAUGAAGUGUAGGUAGUAUAACAAUUUUAUGGACGAAGGCAGUUAAAGCCCAGAGAGGUGGCCGUGGUUUGCCCAUGGCCACUCAAACAGUAAGUGAUUGAGCUCUGAUUCACACCGUCACUCGUCAAAUUCCAAAGCUAAGGUUCUAGGUCACCAUUUUAUACUGCCGUUAUUAGUCAGGAUAAGCUCUGUUAUGCUGUGCUAACAAAAAGCAGCUCCAAAAUCUCAGGGGCUUAAUACAACAUUUGUUUAUUUCUUGUUCUUGCUACACAUCCUGUGUGGAUCUGCCUUUGUAGUUGCUCAAGAACCAGAGAUGAUGAAGGCUUUGUCUCAAUAUACAUCACUUCUACUCACAUCUGAUUAGCCAAAGUUAGUCAUAUGGCCACAUCUGACUUAAAACUCUCGUAUUAGGGGCUGGCUGGGGGGCAGUGCAAUCCUGUGGGGAAGAGAGGAGAACUGUGGCAUCUUGGGUAUAGCCUCGGUGAUUUGUUUCCCCAGCUUUAUUGAGAUCUAAUUGACAUGGGGCAUUGUGUAAGUUUUAGCCCUAAUGAGGUAAUACAGCUGCCUUGAUUUCUGAUUUAUUGAAUCACACGUAGGUGGUUUUUUUUUUUUUUUUUUUGAAUCUUUGCGUAACUCAGGUUGUUACUGACACUUGAAACUUUCUGUCAACAAAGCAGCUUAUGAUUGCAGCAUUUCUACAUCCAGAUGAACGAUCUGCUAUUGCCAGUAGCAAAACAGUUUCAGCAGCUUAGCCUUCCAGACUUUAAAUAAAAGUUUUGUACAGUGAAAUAACAAAAGAAGCUUUUAAUCACUGGGUGCUGCAGAUCCAACCCUGAGCACUGGGAUAAGCAGUCCCCGGUUCCAUUCUCUUCUCUGUUCUGGGUGUUCACUUGCUCCCUCAUUCAUCCUGCCGUUGAUGGACUGGACGGCACCCCUGGGUGUUGUGGGUUCCACAGUGAACUAGAUAGGCCAGGGCUCUGCUCUGCUGCUUACCUACUCAGAGAGAGUUGAAAAGCGGAAGAUGAGACCAUUUUAGAUAGCGAAAAGUGCCGUGAGGACGGCGAAACAAGGCGGUGUGAUAAAGAGUGAUGAAUGGAGGCAGCGGAGAGUUUCUUCGGAUUACAUGGUCAGAGAAGGCUGCUCUGAAGAGGUGACUAACGGUUAAAACAGACUCAAGUGGUAGCCAAGAACCAGGUAUGUGAAGAUCCAGGGAGAGAAAAUUCUAGGUAGAGCGAUGAGUAGUGAGUGCAAAGGCUCUGAGGUGGGAAUGAGCUUGCUGGUUCAAACACAGAACAGGCCAGGGCCUGGAGCUUGGCAGGCAUCAGGGGGGCUCUGAGGCAAGAUGGAGUUGGGGAGAGGCUGGGGUCAGAUUUAUAGAGCCUUAAGGGCCAUAGGAAGAAGCUUAUGUUUUACUCUAAGUGCAGUGGGAAGCGACUGGACAGUGACAUGAUCUGGUUUCCGUUUUUUAGAGUAGCACCUUUAUCUUUAUUUAUUUUUUUUUUUUAAUUUUAUUUUUUUCAACGUUUUUAUUUAUUUUUGGGACAGAGAGAGACAGAGCAUGAACGGGGGAGGGGCAGAGAGAGAGGGAGACACAGAAUCGAAACAGGCUCCAGGCUCCGAGCCAUCCGCCCAGAGCCUGACGCGGGGCUCGAACUCACGGACCGCGAGAUCGUGACCUGGCUGAAGUCGGACGCUUAACCGACUGCGCCACCCAGGCGCCCCAGCACCUUUAUCUUUAUUGGGCAAGAGUAUAGUAAUAUGUUUGUUCACUAUUGAGAUUAAUGCCAUAGUUGAAGAUAGUUUCUUCAGGCGGACAAUUUAAAGGGCCUGCCAGCUUUUUGAAAGAGGGUACUUUUUUGGUGUGUUUUAGAACUCUUUGGCUACUGUUGUUUUCCAGAGACCGUGUAAAGGUUGUUUUGUUUGGUGUCCGCAUCUCUUUAUUGUUAUUGCGGUCGUAUUCUUCUGCUCAUUCCUUAACCAAACACGAUUUAAUGCUGUUUCAGUAAACUGAAGCUUGUUUCAUCCUCUCUCCCCCUCACUGUUUGCUCCCAGAAUAGUAGCUAAGAGUCUUGUUUGCAAGUUUAAACAAAGAAGACUUGUUCAUAGAAUUUGAAAUAUUAGCGCUCUAAUUCUUGGAUGUCUUUUGCUGGUGACAACAAUGAACUGUGGUGCUUAUCAUUAGUCUGUUGUAGAAUAGCAUGUAUCUUAGUGUGAUAUACUAUGACACAUUCUCGAUGUCAAGUCAUGUUCAUGUUUAGUCUAAACUCUUCUGUCAGACACUGCUGUUGCUCUCCAGUGUUGAUGUUUACGUUGAUGUUUAAGGGGCGCUUGGGUGGCUCACUCAGUUGAACAUCCGACUUUGCCUCAGGUCACGAUCUCAUGGUUUGUGGUUCGAGCCCCAUGUCGGGCUCUGUGCUGACAGCUCAGAGCCUGGAGCCUGCUUGGGAUUCUGUGUCUCCCUCUCUCUCUGCCGCUCCUCUGCUCAUACUGUCUCUCUCUCUCAAAAAUAAAUAAACAUUAAAAUUUAAAAUAAAGUUCAUGUUUAAGAAACUAGGUGCUUUAAUUAAAUUGAUGAAAACGGGUAUGAUCAUUUAUGGUCGUUUUCUGGAUAGAGUAUGUAAAAAGAGUUUGAUACAAAUUUAUUUUAUUAAAAUUUUUUUUAAAUUUAUUUUUGAGAGAGAGAGAGAGAGACAGGGUAUGAGUGGGAGAGGGGCAGAGAGAGAGACAGGCAGACACAGAGUCUGAAGCAGGAUCCAGGCUCUGAGCUGUCGGCACAGAGCCCGAUGCAGGGCUCUAACCCAUGAACUGCGAGAUCAUGACCUGAGCCGAAGUCGGACGCUUAUCCAACUGAGCCACCCAGGUGCCCCUAGUUACUGACACAAAUUUAAAUGAGAUACCAGUAAAACAUGCUUAUUUUUAUAUUUUAAAAAAUGAAAACAUUAGUACAUAUUGUCUAUGUCAGAUCGUACUUGCAGCCUCCUGUAACAGCAGCCAAUGCCAAUGCCAUGCUAUAUAUAUAACGCCAUGUAGUGGAGUUACCUUCCUGAUCCCAGUGGAUGUGUAUCUAAGAGGUGGGGGCUGGCUAGGGAGCAGAGCAGGCUGGUUCUAGGGCACCUGUGUGCUUGGAGCAGAGCAGAUGAAGGAGGAGAGGUGUGGGCUCAGCUCUGUGGUCAUUGUAAAGAACAGAGUAGACUUUGCCUAAGGAGAUGGGAGACCGUCGGAGGGUUUUGAGCAGAGGAAUGCUUGAGUUGGGUAUGAAAAAAAUUUUGAUUAAAUAAUUUUUUUUACUACGUCAUCAGUAUUUUUAUCUUUGGUGUUCUGGGACCAUUACAGUUUCAUUUGGACAUGAUUUAAAGAGGACAGUGUAUAAUUCAUUUACUUAUUUUACUUUAAAAGCCCAACAUUGAGGUAUCAUUUGUGUGCAUUAAAUAUACUCAUUUGAGAGACGUCUGGGUGGCUCAGUUGGUUAAGCAACUGACUCUUAAUGUCAGCUCAGGCAGGUCAUGAUCUCACGGUUUGUGAGUUCAGGCCCCACAUUGGGCUCUGCAUUGGCAGUGCAGAGCCUGCUUGAGAUUCUCUUUCUCUCUCUCUGCUCUUCCCACACACUCUCAAAAUAAAUCAAUAAAGUUUAAAAAAAUUUAAUUUUCAUUUUUUAUAAUGUUUAUUUUUGAGAGAGAGAGGGAGAGAGAGCAAGAGCACAAGUGAACAGGUGUCAACAGGGGAGGGGCAGAGAGAGGGAGACGCAGAAUCCGAAGCAGGCUCCAGGCUCUGAGCUGUCAGCACAGAGCCCGACACGGGGCUCGAACUCACGGACCGUGAGAUCGUGACCUGGCUGAAGUCAGACGCUUAACCGACUGCGCCACCCAGGCGCCCCCCCUAAAAUUUUUUUUAAAUGUACCUGUUUGAAGUGCGCAAGUCUUAAGAUUGCCAGAUACCUGCACUCAGUUCUCUCAAGGUACAGAACUCUUCCAUUACCCCAAAAAUUCUUUCCUGCUGCUCUGCAGUUAGUGUCACUUCCCCACCCACCCAGUCCUUACCCCAGGCAGGCACUGAUUGCCUUUCUGUCCCUGUGGAUUGUUUUUUCCUGUUCUAGAAUUUCAUGUGAGUGGAAUUGUUAGUACUUGCCCUUUUGUAUUUGUCCCCCCUCCCNUUUUUUUUAAUGUUUAUUUAUUUACUUAGAGCAUGAGCAAGGGAGGGACAAAGAGAGAGGGAGAGAGAGAAUCCCAUAUAAGCUCUGCACUGUCAGUACAGGGCCUGAAGUGGGGCUCAAUCCUAUGAACUCUGAGAUCAUGACCUGAGCUGAAAUCAAGAGUCAGACACUCAACCGACUGAGCUACCCAGGCGCCCCUGUGUUUGUCUCCUUUUGAUCAGCGUGGUGAUUUUGAGAUUCAUCCAUGUUGUUAUAGGUGGUAGUUUAUUCCUUUCACAGAGGACGUUUUAUGGGGGGCAGCAGACCAUGUGACCCUUCAGAUACAUCUGUUCAUAGAUGUAUUUCCAAAGAUUUGGUAAAGCCUUGAAUGGCUUUCUAUCUUUGGUUUUAGGUUAUCUUCCCCACUUUUUUCCUAAUCCUGGGUAUAUAUGCAUAAUGAGGUAUAAAACAUUGAAACCACUUUUGCUGUUGUAGCAUAUUAUUAAUAUAGAAUUAGAUUUUUAUAAGUAAUUAUAAAUGCGAAUUUGAUUUUUCAGGCUUUUUAAAAAGAGACUUCCAAGUAAGGUGAUUCUUAUGUGUUAUGACUUAAACUUCGAUUAAUGAAUGUAUAGUUUAGAAAAUUAACAUGUUUAAUAAUGAUGGCACUUAAAUCUCAUUUUGAAUCAUGUAUUCUACUAGAUAAAUUGGCAGUUUUUAUAAGAUCUGGGACAUUGUCUUUGUGAAUGAAAAUAUUAGAUUAUUUCUGAAAUUUGAAAAAGAAUUAGCAACUUGGAUGACAUUUUUCUUAUAUAACUGUGGGAGGAACUCUGGCAAGAAGGUUUACAUUUUUUGUUAUUCUGAUAUUAAUGCUUUGGCAAAGAAAAAGGUUUUGCAGGAUUGUUUUGCUCUUCCUCAACUUUGCUGUGUGGUGACUCACUUUCACCCUCAGUCCUUCACAGGACUCCACAGGGAGUGGACUUUCGUCCUUCACAGCCACUCCAUCUGUGUGACCUUGGGCAAGUCACUUGACCUCUUGGUAUUUGCUUUCCUACCUGUUAAAUAGAGAUAAUAGUGGUGACCACCCCAUGUGGUUGUGGUCAAGAGUAAAUGAGUUAAUAAACGUCAAGGCCAGCGCCUGGCAUGUAGGAAACACUGUAGGUAUCAUCAUCACCAUUAUUUUCAGCUCGUAAGCAAGUGCUGAUUCUGCCCUGUAACAUACUUUUCUAAGCACUGUUAGUGCUUUGGUUCAGACCAAGUCAUUACUUUGGAUUUUCACAGAAACCCCCUCAUUGAGCACUGCUUGGCUGACGGUCUCUCUCUCUGUGGGACCAUUCUCUGUAUGUCUUGAGUACUGUAUUCAUACAACAUAAACCUGAGCAUAUAGGAAAUUAGAAAAGCAGGCAAUUAUCGUGAGUUGUUUGGAAUGUCUUCAUGGAUGAAUGGAUUUGAACUUGACCUGGAAGGAUAUAGAAGAUAUUGACUGGUCAGAAGAAUCGAGGGCCAGAGGAUCAGUGGUCUGGGGCCCUGUUGGCUAAAAGCCUGAUCUGUGAAAGACGCCAAGGAGUAGGAGGACCUCCAGAGAGUGGUGCCUGUAGGGACUAGGGAGGAACUUUGAGAGUAAUAUCGAGAUUUUUCUGUGAUUUCUUCCAGUAGAAUUUUUUUUUCUUUUUCUUUUCUUUUUCUUUUUUUUUUUUUUUUUUAAGGCUGUGGCUAGACCAAGCAAACUCCCACCUGACUUGAAAGGCUGUUGCUCCUUGAUUUGCUGCCUUGGAUGAAGGUGGUUUGAAAUUUGGCAGCUCAGUCUCAGCAGUAACAGACUCACUAGGAGGCAGCAGAACCCUCCUUCAGGGGCAUGUCAGGUUGAGAAGAGCUCUUAGGUCUAAUUUACUUUGCUUCUCUUCAACCUUGAGAGACUCUACAACCAGUAAAGUAACCACUGGUUUAUUUAGAAAGUUAAAAAAAAAAAAAAAGGAAUUCUGAACCGGAUGCUUUUAUAGGAUGAUUAAUCAAGAAGGCAGAGGGUUUAGAGAAGUUGAAUAGGGAACAGACUGGAAGCCAGAAGACCUUCUCAUCACGUCAUGUCACUCCCCUGCCCAAGACCUUCUAGUUGUGUCCCGCUGCUCUCUAAAUGAGCUCCAGUCUCUCUCUACCCUGACCUUCAAGGUUCUGCAGGUUCUGGCGGCAGCCGCCUCUGCUUUCUCCCUGGCUCGCUGUGACCUGGCCACGGUGGUCUCAUUUUAUUCCUGAACGUGCCAAGCCCUUUGUCCCCUUAGUACGUUUCCCUGGAAUGCUCGAUCCUUAACGAGUGGCCAUUCUCAUCUUUCAGGUCCAAGUGUCUGUGUGUGAUCUUCUCUAAGAUGUCCCCCCGCACGCAGCUGCCCUGACGAGGACAGUGCCCCCUCCUUAUCUGUUUAUCAUACUCUUUUUAAAAAAAAAAAAAAUUUUUUUUAAAGUCUUUAUUUAUUUUUGAAAGAGACAGACAGAGUGUGAGCAGGGAAGGAGUAGAGAGAGAGGGAGACACAGAAUCCGAAGCAGGCUCCAGGCCCUGAGCUGUCAGCACAGAGCCCAACGCGGGGCUCGAACUUACGAACCGUAAGAUCAUGACCUGAGCCGAAGUCGGAGCUCAACCGACUGAGCUGCCGAGGUGCCCCAUCACACUCUACUUCACUGGUCCCAGUGGAAUACCUGGUCAGGUGGGCAGAACCCAUCUGUCUUCGCCGCUGCUUUCCUCGGUAGCGCAGUGCUGGCACGCGGGGUGCUCGUCUGCCCUUCGCAGGAUGAGGGGAUUGCUGUGUUAUUUCAGGCUGAAGGGUGACUACAGCGGUGGGAAGUGGAGAAGGAUCAGAUACCACACAUACUGCAAGCUCACCAGCAGAUUCGACUGUUGACUUCUCCCCCUUCGUGGAACCUUUUCCCCAGCCUUUCUGACAUCAUGUUCUUGAUGCCCCUUCUGCCACGGUGACAUCGUGCCUGGUCUUACCUCCCACUCUUAGAUAGUGACAUCCUGAGGGCUUUGUCCUUGCUUGUCUCUCUUCUCUGAUCUCAUCCACUCCCCUGGACUCCAUGGCCAGUUGAGUCUGUACACCCUCACAGCCAUCUCUGUGCACACAGACCUCCUGCACUUGACUGCCAGGUACUUGUUUGUUGACAGCAACCACUGCUCGGGGCUCGGCAUCCUGUGCCAGGCGCCGGGUGCAGCAGUGAGUGAAACGGAACCUGCCCCCUGGGUCUGCAGCUUAAACCUGCCUCUGGGGGAGAGGCCAUUAAACCAGCCAGCCAGUAAGUGCUUACAAAGUGCAAAGUGCUGGGGGAGGUGGGGAGAGGUGGGGCGUGUGGUAAUGGAGCCUUAGGGGAAAUCCUGCUUGGUAGGACAGCAGGGACUGGCUUCCUUAGGGCAGGGCAGAGGCCCAGAGCCCUGCAGGCAAAAUGACACCCUCCUGCCUUGAUAGGUCUUGGCCCAACCAGGCUGGUGCUUAAAGUAAGGGGUAGGAACUCUCUUCUGCUUUUCUAUCUGACCCGGGCAGGAGCCCCGAAGGGGCAUGGACAAUAACUGGUUGCCUUUAAUUGCCUUUGAAGCUAUUUAUCCCAGGUUGUUCUGGUAUGCUUUGCUUGUUCUCCGUUAGCGAUUCAGAGUGAAACCCUUAAAACGGAACCCCCCCCCCCCCCCCCUUGCCUGUAGGGAACAGCCCCUCGAGUUGUAGUGGAGAAGUUGGGGAGGUAGGGUGCGAAUGUGCGGACCCCACCCUCCUUCCUCCUCUUGGUUUAGUUAGUCUCUCAGAAUCUCUCCUGAUCUCUGCUUCUCAGUCCUGAGAUGGGAGGUGCUGGAAGAGCAGAGGUGGUCUCUUUCGUGCAGCAAUCAUCAGGCUUUUGUUUAUGUGCAUUAGAUCUUUGGAUAUUUACCAUGUGAGAAAUUGAAGCAAUUUUUUUUUCUUUUUUGUGAAGUAAACUCUGCAGCCACUGUGGGGCUUGAACUCACGACCCCAAGAUCAAGAGCCCCAAGCUCUGCCGAAUGAGCAAGCUCUACCGAAUGCGCCCCUUGAAACAAAAAUUCUUUGAACAAUGUUGAGGGAGUAUAGCUUCACAGGAAGUAGCAGAAAUAGUACAGAGCCCUAUACUCUUCUUCACUCAGUUUUUCGCAGUGGUAACAUCUUACUUUAUUACAGUAUCAAAACCAGGAACUAGACCUAGUUCAGGAGUUGGUUAGACUACAGUCCUUACUCAUAGUUCAGAAAUUUUUAAAACAUGAGAUUAGACAAUCACACAUCCAUUAGCCAGUGGAAUGAUGACAUCAUCACUUGUCAUAAACCCUGAAAACCUCCCCUCUACAUGCCUGAGAAUGAAAAAGGCAGGUAACAUCCUAGGACUAUUGUUGAAAUAGCCCUGACCCUGUGGACCCCCCAAAGGUGGCCCUAAAUGACCGUGAGAUACCCCACUGGCUUGGUUGGAAUGUGCACUCUGGAGUCUGUCUGGACUUUAUCUUGGCUCUGCUACUUUAUUUUUCUUAUUUUUAUUUUAUUUUAUUUUAUUUUUUUUAUAUAUGAAAUUUAUUGUCAAAUUGGUUUCCAUACAACACCCAGUGCUCAUCCCAAAAGGUGCCCUCCUCAAUACCCAUCACCCACCCUCCCCUCCCUCCCACCCCCCUUAUUUUUAUUUUUUAUGUAUUUUUAAAAAUUUUAUUUUAGAGAAAGAGAGUGUAAGAGGGGGAGGGGCAGAGGGAGAGAGAGAGAAUUAAGCAGGUUCCACACGCAACUCAGAGCCUGAUGCAGGGCUCGAUCCCUUGACCCUGGGAUCAUGACCUGACAUCAGGAGUCCGACACUCAACCGACUGAGCCACUCAGGUGCCCCUUGGCUCUGCUACUUUAAAACCACGCAGCUUGGGAGAGUUACUUGACAGGGCAGCUCUGUGGCAUAGUAUUUGAGAACCCAGACCCUGAAGCCUGACUGUCUGGGUUUGAAUCCUGCCUCUGCCACUUACUAGCCAUAACUGUGGGCAGGUCUCAGUUUCAUCUGUAGAGUGAGGAUCAUGAAGGUGCCCACAGCCAGAGUGGCGGUGUAAAGAUUAAACGAGCUGGUUAAAAGAUUAAAAGAGCUUGCAAUAGCAUCCGAAUGGCGUCCUGAACAUCCAUCGGUGUUAGCUGUGAUUAUUGCGAGGUAAUGCAGGAAAAACAUUUAGCGCAGAGCUUGGUCCAGAGGAGGGAGUAAAAGUCAUACUCCUGAUGCUCCCCCACCAUCCAGCAUGGGAAGUCAUCGUGAGCCAAAGGAAAGGUAUUAGGUAUUAGGGGAAGGGAAAAAGCAGUUCUCUGAAAACUUUGUGAGCAGAGGGCCCGGAUCAGCUUUGUGAACCAUCGUACCUUCACUGCUCAGCGCAGGGCCAGCCUGGAGCGGGCUCUCAGGAAGUGUUUGUUAAUGACUGAGUGAUGGACUGAGUGAAGGAGAGCUGCUUGUGGCCACGAGUCGGGGAGGGGAAGGAAUACUGACUGCCUUCUUUUGAGUUUGAGUUAGGAAGUUGGAGACCUUGAUUUAAUGAGAUCAAUAACAAAGCUUAUUAAGUUAACUUAAAUUUAACACAUUAAAUUUAACAUAUGCUGUUCUAGAUCAGUUCACUGAUACAUGUUUGGAGCCUUUACUUCAUCAAGCGGUGAAAUAAACGAGCUCUUCUGUUUCCUGUUACGUAAUAGGAAAGUAGAGAAGUCCUUGUAACAUCCUCUGUGCUUACCACAGUGAUCGGUGUCCAGAAACCCUUGAAACAGGAACGUGCCUUUAUUCUGGGAUGGCAAGGAUGGGCGGUUGGCCACUCCAGAAGGGGGAGCAAGGGUCCUUCCUGGAGCCUGCAGUUUGGUCUCUGGUUGGUCACCUUCUAUUCCUCAUAUUCUGUGUAGUUCAGCAGGUGAUCCAUUUCUCCUAAGGUGUUACCCCUACCUACCUCUCCCGCGUCAGCUCCAGCUGCUUUUCCCUCACCUUCUCUGCUCUGGACUCGCUGGUCUUUUUGCCUGUCUGUUCUGUGAUCAUAUCAAGCUUAUUCUUGAGUCAGCAAGGGUCCUUGCUGAUUACCUGUCCUGGUGUGUUUGCCCCCCAUACUGUCACAUGGUACCCUUCUACUUCUUGAAGCUCUCUGUUUAAAAUAGCACCCUACCCAUCUCCGUCACUGUGUCCUCCUCUUGUGCCUAAUUUUUCUUCAGAGCAUCAGAAAGUACCAGGCAUUGUAUAUCCUUGGUUGAUUUUGUUGGUCUUCCUCCACAGAGUGACACAUUGUUAAGGCAAAGGAGGUGCUUAAAACAUUGCCUGGCCCGUAGAAGGGACUCAGAAAUUGAGUAGAUGCUGCAAUUUCUUUUAGAGAAAAAUUGAUGUGGGAAGUAGUCCCAGGAUCAAAUGGUGAUCUUCAGUGUAGGAACCAACAUGACCUUGUUUAGAGUAUAAUAUUACAUCUGAUACUCUGAGGAUGUUCAUAUAUAUAAAUAGAUGUGUAUAUGUAUGUUUGUGUGUAUAAAUGAGAUCCUAGUUUAUAUAUGGGUGGGGGAGAGAAAUUUUCUUUUAAGUAUUCUUUUGUUCUAAAGGUUUACUUGUAAAUUGCGUGCUAAGAAUUGAAAGCAUAUAUCACAUUUUCUAAAAAAGAAUUCUUAUGUUGACCUAGAAAUAUACCUACCUCACAUUCAAGAAAUUCAGGCACAUGGAAAAAAUGCUUUCCGAUAGAUGACCCAGCUGUUUUAUUUAUUUCUAGCCCUCCUUUUUCUAACAAAGUUAUAAGUUGGUUUACAAGAACUAUGUAUUCAUUCAAUUAUUUAAAUGACAACAAACAUGUUGUGUCCCCUGCUAAGCAUUGGGAACGCAACAUCGAAUAAGAUAGAUACCAUCUGGGGCACCUGGGUGGCUCAGUCGGUUGAGCGUCCGACUUCGGCUCAGGUCAUGAUCUCACGGUCCGUGAGUUCGAGCCCUGCGUCGGGCUCUGUGCUGACAGCUCAGAGCCUGGAGCCUAUUUCGGAUUCUGUGUCUCCCUCUCUCUCUGACCCUCCCCCAUUCAUGCUCUGUCUCUGUCUCAAAAAUAAAUAAAUGUUAAAAAAAAAAAAAGAUACCAUCUGUCUUCACUGUAGUUUAUCAGAGGAGGUACGUUAAACACAUAAUUUUACAACUAAUUAUUUAAAAUUGUGAUAAGAACUAUGAAGGUAAACUAAGGAAGGGAAGAGGCAGUUUCCAGCUGGAGCCAUCGCAGCUGGAAAGGUGAGAGCCAGGUCCUGGGGCUGCCAGGGUUGGCUUGGUGUGGUUGGAAGUCUGCAAAUUUUAGUUGAGUCUUGUAGUGUGAAGGCUACUAAAAUACAAAAAAAAGCUUUCCUCCACUAGGUAAAUGAGCCCAAAUUUACAAGCAGGGAGGGGUUCACCAAAAGCAGGUAAAUAAAUGCAUAGGAAUUUGUCUUUUCUUUUUUCUUGCGGCAGUUCUGCUGAGGUCCUUUCUGUUCACAGGUGUAUCAGAAAUGUUAACACACGUGGUCUCCAGAUUACACUCCAGUGACACAUUUCCCUUGGGAAUGACCAUUCCUGCCUGCUGUCACUGCCAUGGAAGUUGGGAGGUUUUAGGGCAGAGGUUCUCAGAUUCUGUUCCAGCAGAAUUUUUUUCUUUCUUUUUUUUUUUUUUCAGGUUUAUUGAGGUAUAAUUGAUGAAUUGUAAGAUAUAUGAAGUAUACAUAGUGGUAAUUUGAUAUAUGUGUAACCAUCUAGUUAAUUACCCCAUCCAUCAUCUCUCAUAUUUAUCCUUGUCCUUUUUUUUUUUUUUUUUUGGUGAGAACAUUUCUCUUAGCAGAUUUCAAUUCUAUAAUACAGUGCUAUCACCUAGAGUUAGCAUGUUUUACAUUAGAUCCUCAGACCUUAUCCAGCAGAAUCUUAACUGGAAAGAGCACAGUAGUUAUGAACAUGGGCUCAGGGUCAGACAGACAAAGGUUCAAAUCCUGGUCUUGAGCAACUUAGACCACUUCCCUAAGCCUCAAUUUCCUCCUUAAUGGGUGUGUUGGUGUGGGGGGUGGGGGUGAGGGGAUAGGGCAGGGGCGGUGCCAGAGGAAGCAAUGACAGUCCCUGCCCCUUGAGCUGUUUGGAGUAAAUGCCAUCAUGCACAGAAGACGGUUAGUACAUUGCCUUGUACUGAGGCCCUGAGGACUUUCUCAGGAAAUGCUAACUUAUUAGUAUUAUUGUCAUUGUGUCUGGAAGUACCAGUUUAGAGUAGCUGAUGCACUGUCUUUUCAAAGCUCCUAGGGAGGUUAAAUGGUGUCAGGUCCUUUUAAAUCUUAGGCUAGGGUCCUAUCUGAGGAAGGAGAAGAAAACUUCCUCACGCUGCUAAGUGGCCAUGUGCUGAUGGGACUCAGAGCCUUAGCUAAGUACUUCUUCAUGUUUGUCCAUGUUAUUAUUUGUCCAGUAAUCAUUAUGUAGCCUAGGGUGCCCACUGCCAGUUUAAUACCUGUUCCCCCUUUGGAAAAAAGAUUCCUGUUUCCAGAAUCACCAUUUAUAGAUUAAAGUUUUAAAAAUGGGGUACCAUAUUUAGAAGUGAGAAAUUUGUGUGCUGAAUUUAUGCACACUGUAGCUAAUUAAAAACACCAUCAGACCCAUUUUCGGGGGCAGUUUUGGCAUUCUUGUGUUUUGAAAGGCAUUUAACGUGUGCUUGGUAUUAUUGUCAGAACCAAGCUGUAGAUCCAGCAGGAUCACGGCGCUCGUGCUUCCGCAGUGCCGGCACUGUGAGCUUUUGCCCUGUUUGAGAAGGGAAUCUCCGUCCCUGGGGGCCCGCUUGUGCGCAUCCCGACUCGAAAAAGGCCAGAGAGUGGACCUUCAUAAUGAGCUGCUCCUUGCUGGCGGAUUUAUUUCUCUUAAAGCAGCCUAUUGAUACUUUAAACAAACAAACAAACAAACAAACACAGCACAGAAAACAUCAAAAAAAAUAAUGUUGGGAUUACACAAACGUGGAUGAUUUCUUGUCUUUGUACAAAACAUUUUUUUUUUUUUUUUUUAACGUUUAUUUAUUUUUGAGACAGAGAGAGACAGAGCAUGAACGGGGGGAGGGGCAGAGAGAGAGGGAGACACAGAAUCAGAAACAGGCUCCAGGCUCUGAGCCAUCAGCCCAGAGCCUGACGCGGGGCUCGAACUCACGGACCGCGAGAUCGUGACCUGGCUGAAGUCGGACGCUUAACCAACUGGCCACCCAGGCGCCCCUGUACAAAACAUUUUUAAAAGCUGUAAGAGCUUCAUUGUGGGGAAGUUAACUUCCUUAGGUUGGAGUUUGCUUUUUGCUUACUUUGGUAUCUUUGAAAAUCCUUGAGAAGUGUUUCCCUUUGCAGUGAAAUAAAAAACACCUAAGACUAAAGGACCCAUCAUUCUUAGUGGUGUUAUGAUAUGUACAUCGGUUCUUUGGGAGUAUGUGGGAUAACAGUCAAUACAAACUUGGCUUUCCUUUGAUUGAACGUUAUUUUCAAACUAACAGUCAUGUUUUACCAGUUGCCUCAGAUUUUUGCUUCCUCUUCCCUUAUAUAAUACAUACCUAAUAGUAAUGUUAUCUCUGAAGAUUAAAGUGAAUUUUGGUUAGUAAUUAUAUACAAUUCUCUAUUUCUUGGAGACUGUGAUAUUCUGGCAACUUUGCUGUUUAAUGUGACUUGAUAGAAGCGGUAAAUUACUGCUUCUGGGAAAGGUUGCAUUUCCAUUGAGGGCCCAGAAAAAGUUGUGGUGUUCUUGUCGGAAUAUUCAAGCCCCUGUUAAAGGGGGUGUUGCUGCCAGAAGGAUGAAAACAUAGGUGGGGUGGGGUCUGGCCGGCUGGCUGGGCCUUUGCAGUGUGUGCCAGAAGUAUUCAUUUAAAUAGGAGUGUUGAUUUUUAUUUUUUAAGCGUUCUAAAAUGCUGGUGGUAGCCUUUGACCGAAAAGGAAGCUGAAGCCGUAUUUUACUUCCAGAUUCUGUGGGAGUUGAAAACAGUGUGGUGCCAGAGAUUCACAUAGUUUGAAAGUGACUACAGGUGGCUGAACAAAACAGAUUAACACAGACAGACUUGAAGGUUGCAGUCGUUUCCUUUGGAGACUCACAACAGUGAAAGCAACUCCUGAAAUGCUCUGCAUCUCGCAUCUUGUAGUCUCCGUCUGGCUUGCCAGCUUCAGGUUGCAGUUACAGUUUUGCAUAUUUGCUUAUUGGACCAGAAAAAAGAAAAAAAACAACAAAAAACCCACCAACUGGGUUUGCUUCCCUCUGCUCUGAUCCUUCUGUUCCUUGACUUGCAGAACGCCACCGAGCCUGUCGCAGCUGCUGAGAGCCUGGCUGAGGUACCUGAACAUGUGCUUCGAGGACUUCCGGAGGAAGUGAGGCUUUUCCCAUCUGCUGUUGACAAGACUCGGAUUGGUGAGUACUAGGGUCCCCAGAGGGGACGGGGAGGAGAAGGGAGCAGCCUGUGUGGAGGUGGGGAGCUCAUCGUGAAAGCAACAGGUUUACACUUUGAUUUAGAACACUGUGUGGUGUUUCUGCAUUUUCCAGUGAAGAAUCCAGGGUGGACAUAGAUUAUAAAACUGAACCAGAAAUAUCUCCACGCCCACCACCUCCCGUCCUUCGUGAUUCAGCCCGCGUGUUCCCUUCCGCGUUUCCUCGGGGCUCUUCGUACUACAGAGCGUAUUCCUUCCUGUCUUGUUUCACUGGGACUUGAGUGUGAUUGUGCUGUUAUAUUUAAUUUCAUCCUUGUGUAUCGUCACAUCUGCCCUUGCAUUGAUUUGAGUGCCUUCAUUUCUCAUUUCUCUUUAUGUCUCCAGUACCUGACGCAUUAUGGACCUCAGCAGGUACUUGAACGAAUGAUGAUCCGAGUGUCUCUGAAUGCUUCUGGCUGGGAUUUCUCAUUGAAUACAAACCGAGCUUUUGUGUAUUUGGUUUUGCUUUUGUGACCUAAUCUUUAGACGGAAGGCUAAUAAGGAAGUAAAUCAUAAAAAUUUAGUCAAAGUACAUUUUUGGAAUCUAUCAUGUUUGUAUCCCUUUUCGUUUUUUUGUUUUUUUUUUUAAGAUGUAUUUUUGAUACUCCAGUUUAUGUGUAUAUGUGUGUGAAUAAAUUGUUAAUAAAUGCUUUUCCUAAUUCUCACUGAAAAAGUAUUCAGUAAGCAACUUGAGCGCUUACAUCAUUCACGUGAAAGUGGUUGAUUUUUAUAGCUCCACUAACUGAUCGUUAGCUCUCUUAUCAAACUGGAUUCGUAGACUUACAGAAGAGGGAAACUUGAACCUCCUAGCUGGGCAGGACUGGCUCAGUCUCCGCCUUCCUUCUGUGCCUGAGGAAACGGAGACCAGAAGAUGAGGGAACUUGUCCAAAGGGACGUUGUCAGGGAGCGUCACCUCUGGGUGCCGGUUCCCUUGGCCCCACCGCCACCUUCCGCCGUUUGGCCUGCUGCCUUCUUCGGCUCGUCUGUUUGCCUGUGGGUAGUGCACAGAAAAACAACAGCCUAGGAAUACCGUGGAGCAGCAAGAGCAGCAGGAACAGCAGCGGUAUGACUCUUGGCUGUUUGCAACUCUGAAGAGUGAGUUGUUACAGUAGCCAAGUUUUCAGGAGACCUAGCUGGAGAGGAAAGAGUGUUCCGUUUUGAGCGAACUUCAGAAAUACUUAUUCACAAAACUGUAUUUCUCAGCCUUUGUAAAAGCAAUUCAUGUUCAUUGGAGAUCAUUCCAAAUCUGCGGAAAAGUAGAAAGAGUUAAAAAUUAUUUAUAGUUUCUUUUUUUUUUUCUUUUUUUUAAAUUUUUUUUUUUUUUCAACGUUUAUUUAUUUUUGGGACAGAGAGAGACAGAGCAUGAACGGGGGAGGGGCAGAGAGAGAGGGAGACACAGAAUCGGAAACAGGCUCCAGGCUCUGAGCCAUCAGCCCAGAGCCNGACGCGGGGCUCGAACUCACGGACCGCGAGAUCGUGACCUGGCUGAAGUCGGACGCUCAACUGACUGCGCCACCCAGGCGCCCCGCAAAAAUUAUUUAUAGUUUCGGGGCGCCUGGCUGGCUCAGUUGGUGGAGCGUGUGGCUGUUGAUCUCGGGGUCAUGAGUUUGAGCCCUGUGUUGAGUGUAGAGAUUACUUAAAUAAAUAAAUACAUCUUAAAACAAAAACAUUCCCUCGAAAAAUUAUAGUUUCACCCCUCGUAUUUUUUCUCGUUAAGUUGUUAUUGUGCUGUUCUCUGGGUGUUUGUGAUUGUGCCAUCUGGGUAAUUUUACAUGUGAGAAAUAGAAACAAACAGAUAUAAAACAUUCUUUCCUGCUUAUAAAACAGUGUAGGUUCUUUACAGGCUAUUUGGGAAGUACAGAAGAAUACAAAGAAGAAAAAUAAAAAUCCUCCUGGAAGACUUGAUUUCAUUUAAUUUCACUUGCUCUCCAUUGAUUUAACAUUAUCUUGCUUUUAGACUGGCUAGCCUUUUAACUAUUUUGUGAAACAGAAUUGACUUUAAUGCUUUGAUCUUUAACCACAAUACUUUAUAAAAAUAUUGGUUUUAUUUUCUAGGUGUCUGGGCCACUAAACCAAUUUUAAAAGGCAAAAAGUUUGGGCCAUUUGUUGGUGAUAAGAAAAAAAGAUCUCAGGUUAAGAAUAAUGUGUACAUGUGGGAGGUAAGAAAGAAUUCUGGUUCUUUGUUUAUCAGCAUUCAGUACGUUUUUAAAGAAAUCAUUCUAUUCUCUCAGGAUUCGACAUUUGAAAUUAAAAUAGUUUGCUUACUACGUUCUUUAAAAUCAAAAAUGUUUUUAUUAAAGAGAAAAUGUGUCUCUUUGGAUACAGACCGCCGUUUACAUUUGUAUUUUGAAGCGGCUUGGGUGUCCUCAACGAUGAAUGUCAAAUCCAGUUUUUACAUUGCCUUGUUCAGGGUGUUUUGCUUUACAACCAAGACUUUGGUCUGUCCCUUUGCAGGCUUCCAAAUAGGUACCAUAAAAGAACACUCUGAGGUGACCACAAAUAAAACACUGUUAGGGUCUUCUCUGUGUUUUAGAAAAUAAUCUCUGUGUUGCUGGAAUAUUCAGAAUUGGAUAUAUUUGGCACAUGGCAUAUUUAUAGAGUGCUUCGGACUUCUCAGGAGGCUUUAAUUUUGUGCAUUUCCUAUUCUCACUAUGAUCCUGGAGGACAGAGUAGGGCAUUAGCACAUUCCUUACAGAGGUGAGGCCGUCAGGAACAGAGGUGAAUUGUUCCUCCCCGUGAGGACCCGUGUCCAGAGUGGUGUUGAUGCAGAGCUAGGACCCAUGUCUCCUGCCCGACAGUAAGACAUUUAAAAAUGUUUCAUUGGAUUACCUGGUUUCAGAUCCUACCUUUAUUUUAGCCUUGUGACUCUGGGUGUAGGGUACUUAACCUCUGGGCCCUAAAAUCCUCAAUUUAAAAACGGGGACAAGAAGAAAUCCCUCAUUAAGAUAGCUGUGCAGGUAAAUAGGUUGUUACUGCUUCCUGGAGCGUUGCAUGCAAAUUCAUCAUUCUUGUGGAAUUUUGUUCAGAUCAGGUGCUCUGGGGAAGCUCUCGUGGUCUGAUAGGAUCUCAGUGGUGUGUGACUCCCUUUGCAAAGCAAGUGAAGUUUUUCGGUGGUUAGGAAAAGCAUUCCUGUCAGAUUGUCUUAAAUGGAAUCACAUCUGUUUCACACGUAAACAUACACAGACCUAAAAACAAAAUAUGCCUAGGAAAUGUCUGGAUACUUUACAUCAAGAAGUUCUGUGACAUUUGUACAUCAGGUAUGUCGCUGCUGUUCUCAGUGUUCAGAGCGGUGUUUCUUAACUUGAAGAUUCCUCUGGUUUCUUCCAGUAAUUUUGAGGUUCUGUGUUUGUCGUGAGUCCCUUAUAAUAAAUCUGAUGACAGUUAACCAGAAGGGCCUUAGGAAAUGAGGAGUUAGCGUGAGAAUAAUCACAUUAUGCUAUUUCACUACUUUUGAGGUGAAAAGAGCGCUUAUAUUUGUAGAAAAACUGCCCAGCCAAAAAAUGAUAUUAAUUACUCAAGAUAAUGCCUGUAUGAUUAAAAAUGUCUGGACCACAAAAGUAUGCCCCCAGAUAAACUGCAUUUUUAAUUUUAGAAAUUUCCCAGGGAAGCUAACAGAUAUGUUCUACUGGGUCCACGCUAAUCUUAGUGAGGACAGUAUCUGGAAACCAGGAGAUGUGUUCUCUAGUUCCGUGUGUGUAUUGCUGAGCUUGAACAAAUGUCAUUGAUAUUACACCUAAGUUUAUUGUACCUAAUUUACCCCCCUUAACAGUUUGUUAUUGUUGGGCGUAGUAUAUAAAUCAUUAAUAGUGUCUUUUGUAAAUUAAGCUUCGUUUGUAUUGAAAUUCGUACGUAGUAUGAGUUCAUAGUAGCUUGGUGAAUAUCCUAAUUUGGAGCCAUGACAUAUUAGGGAUUCGAUUUCUACUUACAAACAUGUUAAGAUCGCAUUGUUAACUUAGGUACUUCUACUUCUAUACCACCACAGUUUGUGAGUCUUCUGACAUUGCCAGUUCUUGUUAUAUUUAAAACUUUAGUUCUUGUCAAGGCUGGCUUUUCCUUCUUGGAAUUAAAAACAACUGGAUGUCAUUCAGGUAGUUCCGACUACAAGGUACAUAGUAUUCCGUACAGAAACCUGCAAGCCUUUGCUCUGUUAAAAUAAAAGUAGAUACAUGUAUAUGUAGAGGCAUGCAUUCGGCAAAAUACAGGAAGCAGCAGUUAUAAUGUCCAUGUGUCUUGUAAAGAAGGUAAAACACCAAGUAAAAUUUAGUAUAUCCCCAGUGAUUUCUUCCAACCUUGGUCUGAUCCUCAGACUUGCAUCAGAAUGGCUUGUAUUCAAGUAAGAGAAACUGCUUAUCAUUAAAAUCUCAUCUUGGCAUUUGUUCUUCUAUUAAAGCCCCUUAAGACCUGCUUAUCUUUUAGCAGCCUCGUCUUUUGCCCCAGCUAGAACUCCAUUUUAAAGCUAACUAAGACCAAGUGUUAAGUUGCUUUUCUUGAGCGCUUGAUUGUCUCACAGAGUCUUACGUCCCCUAAGCUUUCGCUGAAAACAUUCUAGUAAAUCAGAAACAACAGAAGAGAAACAAUAAAGUGUCCUCAGGGUGAUGCCCCGAACAGUCAGGUUCUCCUAAGAGGAGAGCAGUUGUUCGAGCAGUUUCUGGUGGGGAACUGCUUGCUGGCAGCUGGAGUGCUGGACUUGGUGUGAUACUCCCGGGACUGCCCCCACCCGUGCUGACUGCCCCCACCCGUGCCGAGAGGUCUGCGGUGAUCUGCGCUUCUGACAAAAGCCUUUCAGAUUCGCUUUCGUGGGUCUCAGAUGGCUUCUGUUGCACUUGUGAGUUGUUUGCAUGUGAAUUGUUUUGAUGCGUUUUUUCCCCCCUAGAUUUUAUUUUUUUAGAGUAGUUUUAGGUUCAGAGCAAAUUAAGCAGAAAGUACGGAGUGUGCCUGCAUACCCCAUCCCCCCCUUCCUCCCACCAUCGCACCAGGGUGGUGCAUUGGGUAGACUUUCAGAGAGCCUGCACUUAUGACACAUCACUGUCACUUAAAGCUCAUAGUUUUCAUUAGGGUUCAUUCUUGGUGUACAUUCUGAUAAGUCUCUUUUAAAUUAUAAAAGUAAUACAUGCUCAUUGGAAAAUAACGUAAACAUUACAGAACACUAUAAACAAGAAAGUAAAAAUCAUCUGUGAAUCUUUUGGUGAACGUUCCAAGUCUGUGCUUCUCUGCCUGUUUUUCUUCUGUCUCUCACACAGGCUGGUGCAUAUACAAACACCAUAUAGAGAUGCUUCGUGCAACUGAGAUCAAAGCGCACAUGCAGUCUUGUGACGGGUUUUUCUCUUUCAGUUUGCUGUGGACGUGCCCAUGUCAAACAGUUUCAUCGGCAUCAUUAUGUCCUGUGGCCACAUAGAAUUCCAUUGCAUUCUUCCACUAUUCAACCAGUUGUCAUUUAAAUAGUUUUCAUCUCUUCAUGGUAUUAACAACUCUUCUGACUAUGAAACUCACCGUGUAUACAUGUGUGCUGACUUGUCUGGUUAUCUUCUUAAGAUAAAUUCCUGGAAGUAUAAAUGUUAAGUCAGAAGUUAUUUACAUUUUAGUCUCUGGUGAAUUUUGCUAACAGACCUCCAGAAGGAUUGCACUGAUUUGUAUACCCACCAAAAGUACCUAUUUUUUUCUAGCUUUUUAAAACCCAGUAUUGUUAAUCUUUUUAAUGGUCCCCUCCUCCGCCCCAUUCUUAUAAGUGAAAACUGAUAGUUCACUACUUCUGUUUGCAUGUUAUUCAUUUAGGCAAAUAACUUUUGAAUCGGGGAUGGUGGGAAGAUGUAGAAUUGUAUUUCAACUAAAAUUGAUGAAUUAUUGCUCUUCAGUGAGAAGACUUUAAUCAUUUGAGGAAGUGAAAAACGUUUUAUCCAUCUGCACUGUUCAGAUUAGACAUGAGCAAGUGCAUUCCCUAGUCUUGGCUAGCUCAACACUUCUUUUUUUUUUUUUUUUUAAUGUUUAUUUAUUUAUUUUGAGAGAGAGAGAGAAAGCUUGCACACGUCCAUGUGCACAGGGGAGAGGCAGAGAGAGGUCCCAAGCAGGCUCUGUCUGCACUGAGCGCAGAGCCCGGCACAGGGCUCUAUCUCACGAACCGUGAGAUCGUGACCUGAGACGAAGUCAAGAGUCUCACACUUAAACGACUGAGCCAGCCCUGGUGCCCCCUAGCUCAACACUUCGAAUUUCAGAUUAUUUCUAAGUUAAAAAUGGAGGCAAGAAGAAAAAAGAGCAGAGAAGUCAGCCAGCUGAUCCUGUAGAACCUUUUUCUAGAAAGUACUGCUCAGCUCUUCUUUCCAUCUUCCAAACCUGCACCAGAGGGGGGGUGCCAGAGGAAGAGACCUGGGUCCCAUGGAAAUCAACCUGCCACCUGUUGUUUACAGUCCCACAGCCAAGAGUGCUUUUUACAUUUGUAAGUGGUUUAAACAAAAAAUCAAAUGUUUCGUGACACAUAAAAAUCAUAUGAAACUCAGAUGUCCGCUCACAAAUCAAGAUUUAUUAGAACAUAGCUGCGUUCAUUUGUUUGUAUGUUAUCGAUGGCUGCUUUGGCCCUACGGUGGCAGAGUUGAGGAGUUUAGACAAGAGUCCGUGCAGCCUGCAAAGCUGAAAAUAUUUAUUGCUAGUUCUUUACAGAAAAAGUUAGCUGAGCCCUGGUCUCAGUGUGUAGAAAGGAGAAGCAAGUGGGGAUGAGUGUGGUGAUGACUGGUGUCUUAGGUUUACUGUGAAGCUAUGUGGUUGAUGGCAGUGAAAAGAUUUUUUUUUAAUUUUUUAAAUGUUUAUUCAUUUUUGAGAGAGACAGAGACAGAAUGCGAGUGCGUUAGGGGCAGAGAGGGAGGGAGACACAGAAUCCGAAGCAGGUUCCAGGCUCUGAGCUGUCAGCACAGAGCUCGACCGGGGACUUGAACUCAAGACACGAGGUCAUGACCUGAGCUGAAGUCGGACGCCCAACCGACUGAGCCACCCAGGCACCCCGGUAGUGAAAAGAUUUUGAACUUGGUAGUUACCAGUGGAGUAGCUGUACAGUUGGUGGUCGUAGAAGCUUCUAGGCCGAUCAUACUCUUUUCUGUGGAACUUUAGGGCAGAUGAGGGCAUUGCAAUACAGAGAAGUAAGUGAGCCUCCCAAAUAAGUUAACUUUUAUGCAGAUUGGCAGCUUGGUCUGGUGCGAAAAAAAAAAAGAGUCUCUGGGAGGGGCUUUAUUUUAGCCCCUAUUUGUUAAGCCUUUGGCAUGUGCUUUUACCAGUGUCCUGAGUUCUGGAGCACUGAGUCUGACAUACAAUAUUCGUGGUAUUGCAUAGAUUACUGGCAGUACCCAAUGGAGAUUUUUGUUUGUGGAAUAAUAGGGCACUGGAAAUGCCCUGAGUCUUUCGACAGGUGAGAAAUCUGUGUGAGGUGGCUUGCUUCAUGCCUUCAAGCUGCCAGUCCCAGAGUCUGGCCUCGCGUCCAGGCUUCCUGGUUGCCUGUUCUGUGCCCUUCCCGCUAGCAGAGCCCGGAGGUUCUUACUUUUUUUGUGGGUUGUGGGCCCUUUUGAAAAUUUCCGCAGAAAAUGUACAAGUGUGUGUAUGUACACAACAUUUUGCAUAUCAUAUAUAGGGUUAUAUGGGAUUCUUAAGCAUCUGUAGUCCAGAGUUGGAAUUUCUAAUUUAUUUGUUUGUUUUUAAAAAAUUGUUUAUUUAAAAAAAAAUUUUUUUUUUCAACGUUUAUUUAUUUUUGGGACAGAGAGAGACAGAGCAUGAACGGGCGAGGGGCAGAGAGAGAGGGAGACACAGAAUCGGAAACAGGCUCCAGGCUCUGAGCCAUCAGCCCAGAGCCCGACGCGGGGCUCGAACUCACGGACUGCGAGAUUGUGACCUGGCUGAAGUCGGACGCUUAACCGACUGCGCCACCCAGGCGCCCCAAAAAAAUUGUUUAUUUUUGAGAGACAGAGCGAGUGAGCAUGUGAGCACACGAGUUGGGAGGGGCAAAGAGAGAGAGGGACAGAAUCUGAACAGAUUCCACACUGUUAGCGCCGAGCCCGAUAUGGGGCCCGAACUCAAGAAUUGGGAGAUCGUGACCCGAGCUGAAGUUGGAGGCUUAACCGACUGAGCCACCCAGGUGCCCUGAAUUUUUUUCUUGUCUUUUUUUUUUUUUUUACAUUUAUUUAUUUUUGAGAGACAGAGCACAAGUCGGGGAGGGGUGGAGAGAGAAGGAGACACAGAAUCUGAAGAAGGCUCCAGGCUCUGAACUGUCAGUAUAGAGCCCGACACGGGGCUCAAACUCACGAACCGUGAGAUCAUGACCUGGGCCAAAGUCGGACGCCCAGCCAACUGAGCCACCCAGGUGGUCCGAAUUUUUUUCUCUUCUAAUGUUAGAGAGUAUGGCUGUAUUUUGAACCAAAAAGCUCUAACACAGUGUGUGUGUGGGGGGGGGGGCAGGAGGAAUCCUGAAAGUGAAUUCUACAAGCUGAGUUACUGUUUACUUAUGGAACACAUGAGAAGUAAAUGCUCUGCAAGUUGGGCCUGUAGAGACACGAGCCUCCUGUCUCCCCUUUACUCCUUUUGUCAGUCUCCACAAGUGGAAAUAGAUAUUGUCUCUUCCCGGGAACAGGCGGGGAAAGUGGCAAACAGUGUAUGGAUCAUAAUGUUGGAAAUUCAGCAAGCUAGAUCCCCAGAGGAAUAAAGAUGGAAAGGAGCCUCAGGAGCAUGGACCUCCCGGAGAGGUUCUGUCCCACCAUUAGUAACGUGUCAGAGCUGUUUGAAGGGCAAGUCCAGAGAACAGCCAACAGAAAGGCUGUAUCACUGUAGACUCUAAUUUGCAGGGGGCUGGGGGGUUGUUUGGAUGAAUGCAAGACGUAUCUCAGCAUGAGAGUCGAUUCAGUAUAAGGAAGCAUCUUUAGUGCUCUGUCUUAAUUCCUGGCAGUGAUUUGUGUCAGAGUAAAGUUCGUUACUGUAAGUUGAGAGUGGGUAAGGAUCUCCUAGACAAACAGUUGAGGAUUCAAAUGAUGAAUGUUUGCAUUAAUUGAAUGAGAGGUUUUUGAGUUUACAAAUUUGAAUGAACACAUGUAGAAUAUAACAAGUAAAUGAUAAGGACGGAUCUAAAUGAAAACCCUCACCCCCAACCCAGGAAGUAAGUAUGUUUUAUCAGUUUGGUUUGUCCUUUGCAAAGCAUCCUCUGUUCUUCAGUAGUCUUUAACUUUGAUGCAUUUUUAGAUUGUGGUGUGUAUUGGAUUUUGAGUGUAGGUGGUUUUAUGGCUAUUUCAAAAGGAUUGGAUUAAAUUGCAUGGCAAUUAGGUGGUGUGAAAAUUAUGUUUUGUUCGACAAAGAGUUAAUACCCAGGCUGUGCUCAGUGGUAAGGGCAGAAGGGAGGUCAGGCUUGGGUGACUGAGGGAAGGUCCAGGAUGGGAGGAGAGGUUUGGAAAAACGGAAAUUGAAAUGGAAGCAUAACUGAGGGGACCGGGUUUGAAUCCUGGCUCAGACUUUUAGUGACUUCAGUGUUCUAGUAAAAUUAGCAGCCUUUCCUAGGGUCUCGAUUUAUAAAAGGGGCUUACUUCUAUAUCAUAGGGUUCCUGUAAAAGCUAAAUAAAAUCCCUCAUUAAGCAUCUAGCCCGGGGCUUGGUGUGGAGAUGCUUCUCCCUGAGCUCUGUUUCUCCGAGGAAGGAAUUUCCACUUGGAAGUUAAUUUGUAAAAAUUGUUUUGUAUAUACACAAUCAGAUAUCCUUGCCUUGCCUUGUAUAAAAGGUGUACCUUUUGUUAUGCCUUGUUAAAGGGUAUACCUUGCUUUGUUAAAAGGGACUCCUAUAGAUUGGAUGAGGAAAAAUUAUUGAUUAUAUGAAAAUAUUUCUCUCUGGGAUCAAGUCAGCCGAAUAUUUUUUGGUCAUUAUAAAGAUUUGGAAAUUGGUUGGUUGCAUAUCAUUUAUUGAGCUGGAGCUGGAGUGGGCGUUUGACCUGCCUUUGCACUCGCUUUGUGUGAAAGAAGGGAUUCUAGUUCGUUUCCCGCUACCCUAGCCUAACAGUGCUGCAGCGCCUUUGUGGUCUAGUUUUGGCGGUUAACGUGAAGCCAGAGCUGUCACAUGUUACCAUUUGGGUUCUGUGUGUCAGCCACUGAAAUUGAUUCUGAUUGGAAGCCCAGGUUUGGCCAGCUAAGGUAGAAAUUGUAUCAAAACAUGUUUUCAUACCGGUUUCUAUUUAUAAGGUUAGACUCUCAAUAAAAACGAGAAAGCUGCAGAUUUAAACUGUGUGUGAUGACGGUGGUGAUGGCAGGAGGAAGGAGGAGCAUCGGUAGGGCCUCUGAGGCCUUCAGUCCAACGUGGGGUUUCACGCUGGAGACGAAUUUGCUCUCCCACCCUGUCCCUUCUUUACUUUGAGAUCACACGAAGUCAGUGGAGGAAAGGCGGAAAAUUCAGAUAAACAGAAGAAAGAAAACAAAAACUAUGGAUGAUCCCACUUCUCGGAGAAAACCGUUGCUGACAGUUUCAUGUAUUUAGUGUCAGCUUAUUUUUCUCCUCAGGCAAUUCACAUGUUGAAACAAAAAUGGUGCCAUCUUAAGCCAUACUUUCUAUAACCAGCUUUAUUCAGUCAUCACUAGUUUUGUGUCCGCCCUUUGCACCAGUAAAAAUACUUCCCCAGCUCGUGGUUAUCUUGGUUUUCUUCCAAUUGUACAAAUCCUGUGUGUUCAUUGGAAAAAUUCUUAAGGGAUAUAGAAUUAUCUAGCAAAAUAAAAGAUUCCACAUAAACUAACAGUUUGUACAAAAGUGCUUUUUAGGUCUGCUUAGUAUUCUGCUCUGUGCAUGGAUUAUCAUACUGAGCUAAUCCGUAGUGGUUUUCACUUAGCAACUGAUUGGAAACAGUCUGUAAUAAACCACACUGUUAGGAACAUUUUUGUACAUACGUCUUGGUACAAUUGCCAAUUAUCUCAUGAGAAUAAAUUCCUGCAAGUGUGUAUGCUCACUAAAGUGUGUGUACAUUUUAAAGCUUUUUUUUUUGUCAUGGACUGUUAAUAAAUUCCAUCCAAAAAAUGAUACCAGUUUAUUCUCUGAUCAGCAUUGUUUGGGAGAAUGUCUACUCUCUGGUCCUGUGUUUUUUUCCUUUUUCUCUUAAAAAUUUCUUUUUACCAGUCUGCUAGGUAGAAAUGAUCUAAUUUGAACUUAUUUUAUGAUUAUUAGGUAAACUUACUUUAUUUCCAUGAGAUUUUGGUCCUGUGUAUUCCUUUGUGAAUUAUUUUUGCACGUUAAAAAAAUUGAAGUGUUCCUCUUUUUCUGUGAAAUACGUAUUUCAGUUUAAGUAUGACUUAGCAGAUGCUGCCAUCGAUUUUGAAACAAAAUGAACCCUACGUAAAUAAAUAAUUUACUCGAGUGGGCUGCCUUGCUCUUUGCAGAGGUCAGUGUUGACCAGGGUGUCGGGAAAUUCUGGCAUGGCUCAUGCUGAUAUCCUCAGGUUGGUGGGUGGGCUUCGUGUCUCUCCCCAGCUGCCCUCUUUGACUGUGUGGGGUUUUCCAGCACCAUCUGUCUCCCGUUGGUUUCCUGGAGCGGUGUCAGGACGUCGGAUGGGGUGUGAGUAGGACCAUGCCAUCCUCUGUGAUAAACCGAAGCAACGCUUUUGAUCCCUAAAUGAGUCCAAAGUCACUACCUACUGUGGACUGACUGUUAAAGUAGCGACGGCUCCCAUUUUCCUUAAUUCACCAUGCUGACAAAUGUGACAGACGUCUCUUAAACAUUUUAAAGUAAAGCCACUUCUGUUAUUUUGGCAUUUAAAAUUUAACUUUAAAAUUUGCAUUGUGAGGCUCUUGGUCACACACCGUUUGGGGCUUCCCUUUCUCUUUGUUUAGAGGGAGAGGAGUGGAUGGCCCGCGCAGGUGGCCCAGUCGGUUAAGCGUCUGACUUGAUUUCGGCUCAGGUCACGAUCUCAUGGCUCGUGAGUUCGGGUCCCACGUCGGGCUCCGUACUGACAGUGUAGAGGCUGCUUGGGAAUCUCUGUCUUCCCCCCAACUCUCAAAAAGAAAUAAGUAUUAAAAAAAAGGGGGGGGGAGUGUGUGUACACGCAUACUUGUAUGCGCUGAGGGUGAAUGAGAGUGAGUUUGAAGAGGGGUCUGCAGCAACAGGGAGAGCUUUUCUUUGGAGUGGUGCAGAGAGGGGUUUCAGUAAACAGACAGUUUUUGAAGAAACUCACAGGGGAUGGCCCUGAAUACCUUAUGUGUAACAGCAUCCUUACAUCCGUUCCAUAGUUAUUUAUUGAGGGCCUGCUCGGUGCCAGGUACCAGUCAAGAUACUGGAAGCACUGCAGUGAGUGAAAAAAGGCUAACAUGUCUUCUCUUCAUGGAGCCCAUACUCUGGUGUGACGAUGCAGUCACCAGAUAAAAAAAGUAAGUCCCUGAGUAGAUCUCAUACUUUACAAGAGCAUAAGUGCUAUGGAGAAAACCAAAUUGGGGGGGUGACUGGGGGCUGAUGGGAAGAGAGGGAUUCGUAGUUUUUAACCAGGAUGGUCAAGGAAGGUGCUGAUAAGUAUGGUAGAGGUCAGGCAGAUUUUCUUUUCUUUUUUUUAAUUGGGUGACUUUGGGAAAGUUCAAUUGAAUUUUGAUCCUCACCUUCCACAUGUUAAAAAAGGAGAUGAUAACGAACCUACCCUGUUCAAUGAGAUAAGAUGCAAAGCAUAUAGCACUGUGCCUGACAUCCAGUUCCCAAUAGGAAGGAAAUAUGGUUAGUACCCAGUAAGGUUGGGCGCUGCCCCCUGCCAGACACAGGCUUGGAGAUGCAGGUAUGGUCAGAAGAGCUGAGAGUGGAGAGUGGGAGUUUUGUUCCAGAAGGAAAGUUGCAGUAAAGAAGAGUAUGCAAUGUGGGUGGGAGAGGAGAGAAGAAAUGAGUGGCGGGAGUCUUCGCUUCAUAUAUGUAGGGAAGGAGUGGAAGCAUCGAGAGUCUUUCCUUUCUUUCCUAAAGAGAAGUAAAAGACUCAUUUCUUUUGCUUUAUUUUUGACAGGUCUAUCACCAGUUGGUCCUGCAGCUCUAGUUCAGUGCCUAAUCAAGUGUUUUUACGGUCUAGUUUGGGGGAAGUAAAAAAAAAAAAAAAAAAUCCAUAUAUGUGUGUGUGUGUGUGUGUGUGUGUGUGUACAAAGAUAAAAGUUAAAAAUAGUUGCUAAAUAGAUUUUCUUUAAAAUGACGGAAUGAGAAGUGCUGGACGCGUGGUAGAGGCCAGUGGGGCGGGGACAUUGACCAAGAGUGGAUGAUCAGGGAAAGUUUCUUGCAGGAGUAAGUUUGAUCUGAGUCCUGAAAAGAGGCUUGGGUUUCCAGUCUUGGAAGGACACUGAUAUUUCCCGAAGUAUGUUCCAUGAUACCUUAGUCCUGACAGAUGCUUAGAUAAGGUUUGGAGAGUCAGCUGGGUCUGCCAGGGCUUCGUACGCCGUCACUCACGUGGACCUUCGUACUGCACGUUCACUCACUGAAGUUCUUUUUCAGCCUUGCAGUAAAGGGACCCGCCAAACCGUGUGGUCUGGCAGGACCAGGCCCCUGCACUUGACUUGCAGAACAACCCAGAACACUCAGAGGAUUUGGGUGCGGUGGGGCAUUGCUGGACGCUCACUCUUCUUCUCAAGUUCAUGUAGGGACUAGGACUGUCACUCGUCUUUGUGUACAUACAGUAUUUGCAGAGCAUUUAGAGAUCAUUAAACACAAUUACUACAGUUGUUUAGGUUUAGGAGAGAAAAAUGACUCAAGUCCAGAUAGAAAAAUGAGUAAUGAGGAUUAUCAGUUUUGGAUCUCUGUUUUUAUCUUUUCUUUUUCUUUUCUUUGCUGCUAAUUUAGUUUCUGUGAAGCGUUUUGUAGAGUACUUGGAUAUGACGAAAAAGAAUUGUCUUAAAAGUUGAAACUGGAAACAUUUUAAAGACAUUUCUAUUUUAACAAAGGUGUUUACCUCCCCCUCCCCCCCAGGUGUAUUACCCAAAUUUGGGAUGGAUGUGCAUUGAUGCCACCGAUCCAGAGAAGGGAAACUGGCUGCGGUAUGUGAAUUGGGCUUGCUCAGGAGAAGAGCAGAAUUUGUUUCCGCUGGAAAUCAACAGGGCCAUUUACUAUAAAACUUUAAAGGUAAGAGUGUUAAAGCUGGUCUGCUCUAGUCACUCUGCGUGCAGUCUUGCAAAAACUGUCCUCACUUGGGACUGACAAGAAUGACUUUGCCGACCUUGAAAGGAUUAUAUUUGAAAGUGGUUCAUCAACACAUGGGAAGGUCUUUGUUUUAAAUCUACAGUUGCCACCGCUUUGUGUGCGCUAAAGCACGAAGAUCGCGUUAAGUAAUUACACCCUGCCCCCUCGCAGAGACCAAUGAGUGAGGUGUGUGGCAACUAUUUCCCUCCUCCUACGAAACGGAGGCGUCACGAACGGUCUGACUGGCAGAUGUGUCGACUGUAAGCAGCUGUCGCCAGCUGCGGUGGUUCUGUGCUGACCAAAAACAUGCACUUGGUCUUCGGUAUAAGGCAGCCUUGGAUUAUUAGCUUUUCUCUUCUGUAGAUGUGAUUCAGAAUGGAAAUUAAACAGAGCGGGUUUCUUCUUCCUGCCAAGUUUUUAUUUAGAGACGUUAAUUGUUGAGAUGAAAAGAAGAGGCAAAUCAUUUUUUAGAGUUUGUGGUGAGGUCACAGGUCACCGAGUGCAUUCAGGGUACUGAGUACAUUGGGAAGCACUGAGUAUCGUCGUAGUUCUGCAACAGGCGAGUCUGGGUCUUUGUCCCUGCUCUCAGGUUCUCUGGGAAGGCGAAUCUGUAUCGAUCGUGCACGGAAAUGUUCUCUAAAGAGUCUUACGGCUCUAAAGAUAGAUGAUGAUUGCUUUUUGGAAUACAUAUGUUUACUAAAAUUGCUGUAAUUCACAUUUCUGUUUAUUCACUUCCAUUUAAAAAUGUCAUAGGCUGGGGGACAUUCCGUGAAAACAGAUUAUCUCCACGGAGUUGAAAUC